This 282-nucleotide ribosomal RNA is filed under the name uncultured Acidobacteriota bacterium. RNAcentral's name for it is "uncultured Acidobacteria bacterium partial 16S ribosomal RNA". It matches the Rfam family "Bacterial small subunit ribosomal RNA", at positions 1101 to 1382 of the family's 1533-position model. The record is from RNAcentral. Lineage: Bacteria; Pseudomonadati; Acidobacteriota.
ACCCCUGCCUUUAGUUGCCACCAGGUUAUGCUGAGCACUCUAAAGGGACUGCCGGUGAAAAACCGGAGGAAGGUGGGGAUGACGUCAAGUCCUCAUGGCCUUUAUGUCCAGGGCUACACACGUACUACAAUGGGUGGCACAAUGAGUCGCAAACCCGCGAGGGGGAGCCAAUCUCAAAAAACCACUCUCAGUUCGGAUUGCAGUCUGCAACGCGACUGCAUGAAGCUGGAAUCGCUAGUAAUCGCUGAUCAGCAAGCAGCGGUGAAUACGUUCCCGGGCCUU